This 165-nucleotide ribosomal RNA is filed under the name uncultured bacterium. Its description in RNAcentral is "partial 16S rRNA". It matches the Rfam family "Bacterial small subunit ribosomal RNA", at positions 355 to 511 of the family's 1533-position model. The record is from RNAcentral.
UAGGGAAUCUUCCACAAUGGACGCAAGUCUGAUGGAGCAACGCCGCGUGAGUGAAGAAGGUCUUCGGAUCGUAAAACUCUGUUGUUAGAGAAGAACGUGUGUGAGAGUGGAAAGUUCACACAGUGACGGUAACUUACCAGAAAGGGACGGCUAACUACGUACCAG